UGGAUCACCUCCUAACAGGGAGACAAACAACGAUUUUGAUGUCUGAGUUUUUUUAUUCUUAGGCCAAAAUCCUGUCACCUUAGGUCGAUCGGUACCUCAACUUUGAAGCUAAGAGUAUUCAGAAAUGGAUAUCUGCUUAGUGGAAAUUUUUAGUUCCUAAACUUUGUCUAGUUCACAACCCAUUAGGGAUGAGACUCCUGGGCCAUUAGCUCAGGUGGUUAGAGCGCACCCCUGAUAAGGGUGAGGUCCCUGGUUCAAGUCCAGGAUGGCCCAUUCGGUGUAGGGGGUUUAGCUCAGUUGGUAGAGCGCCUGCUUUGCAAGCAGGAUGUCAGGAGUUCGAGUCUCCUAACCUCCACUGACUACCAAAAUCCCCAUCUCCAAAACCUGGAGUAUGAACUCGUAUGGAUUGUGAUUUAGAUGUGUCCGCUAGAUGACCCUAGCUUCUUGUCAUUUUAAGGCAUGGAAAAGAUUCCAUGAUAUUUAAUUGAUAGGAUGCUGGGCUCGAUUCAAUGUAUUGAGAGAUUAAUGCAUUGUUUUGAUGUCUGGUCGAACCUUGACAACUGCAUAGUAAGUCUGGAAAGAAUAAAGCAUCUUUAUGGAUGCAUCAUUCUUGAGUGUUAAUUCACGAUGGGAUGAUGUUGAUUCUAAAGCAAGAGCCGAGACUCCAGCAUGUUCUUUCAAAUGUGUCGAGCAUUUGAGAGUUUGAUUUUAAUUUCUAUUUUUAGAAGUUAGAAGAAUCUGUUUCAACGACAGCAAGCGUGUUGGAGAUACAUUGGUCAAGCUACAAAGGGCUCACGGCGGAUACCUUGGCACACAGAGGCGAUGAAGG
RNAcentral lists this transfer RNA (829 nucleotides) under uncultured Synechococcus sp. RNAcentral's name for it is "partial contains 16S ribosomal RNA, 16S-23S ribosomal RNA intergenic spacer, and 23S ribosomal RNA". The stretch from base 283 to 355 matches the Rfam family "tRNA". The record is from RNAcentral. Lineage: Bacteria; Bacillati; Cyanobacteriota; Cyanophyceae; Synechococcales; Synechococcaceae.